AUUGAACGCUGGCGGCAUGCUUUACACAUGCAAGUCGAACGGUAGAGGGGGCAACCCCUUGAGAGUGGCGAACGGGUGAGUAAUGCAUCGGAACGUGCCCAGUCGUGGGGGAUAACGCAGCGAAAGCUGUGCUAAUACCGCAUACGAUCUCUGGAUGAAAGCGGGGGACCGAAAGGCCUCGCGCGAUUGGAGCGGCCGAUGUCAGAUUAGGUAGUUGGUGGGGUAAAGGCUCACCAAGCCAACGAUCUGUAGCUGGUCUGAGAGGACGACCAGCCAAACUGGGACUGAGACACGGCCCAGACUCCUACGGGAGGCAGCAGUGGGGAAUUUUGGACAAUGGGCGCAAGCCUGAUCCAGCAAUGCCGCGUGCAGGAAGAAGGCGUUCGGGUUGUAAACUGCUUUUGUACGGAACGAAAAGGUCUGGGUUAAUACAGGGGGCUAAUGACGGUGCCGUAAGAAUAAGCACCGGCUAACUACGUGCCAGCCGCCGCAGUAA
This 496-nucleotide ribosomal RNA is filed under the name uncultured bacterium. Its description in RNAcentral is "partial 16S ribosomal RNA". It matches the Rfam family "Bacterial small subunit ribosomal RNA", at positions 29 to 523 of the family's 1533-position model. The record is from RNAcentral.